AUGGCCUCUAUCAUGGCCACCACCUCGGCCAUCUCAGGCCGCUUGUCGGGGUUCGCGUCCCAGCACCGUUUCAUCACGUUCGCCAAAGCGCUCGGACAGCACCGCGGUAUCUCCGGCCUCAGAAGGCGUCAGAAACAAGAGCCUGGCAACGCCACAAGGGAAGGAAACAUUUUUGACCUGGCGGACAACGGCAGAACAGAUCCCAAAGCUAUAAACAUCGCAUUUCCUGUUGUAAGGAUGACCAUUCAGGACCUGCACAUAGAUAGAUGCCGGCAUUUAUAA
RNAcentral lists this ribosomal RNA (282 nucleotides) under Triticum aestivum (bread wheat). RNAcentral describes it as "partial small subunit ribosomal RNA". Lineage: Eukaryota; Viridiplantae; Streptophyta; Magnoliopsida; Poales; Poaceae. The record is from RNAcentral.